This 182-nucleotide unclassified non-coding RNA is filed under the name Glomeromycetes sp. Its description in RNAcentral is "partial contains 5.8S ribosomal RNA and internal transcribed spacer 2". The stretch from base 1 to 71 matches the Rfam family "5.8S ribosomal RNA", at positions 84 to 154 of the family's 154-position model. Lineage: Eukaryota; Fungi; Glomeromycota; Glomeromycetes. The record is from RNAcentral.
GUGAAUCAUCAAAUCUUUGAACGCACAUUGCACUCUUUGGUAUUCCGAAGAGUAUGCCUGUUUGAGGGUCAGUUUAAACAAAAAUCGUUUUCUUUGUUGCCUUUCGUUGUGACUUACCAGAGAUGGGUCGUAUUACGUUCGGUUAAGUGACUUAAAAUUUUGCAUGUUAAUUUUCGUUCGUA